This 206-nucleotide ribosomal RNA is filed under the name uncultured bacterium. RNAcentral's name for it is "partial 16S ribosomal RNA". It matches the Rfam family "Bacterial small subunit ribosomal RNA", at positions 568 to 774 of the family's 1533-position model. The record is from RNAcentral.
UGCGUAGGUGGUUUCUUAAGUCAGGAGUGAAAGGCUACGGCUCAACCGUAGUAAGCUCUUGAAACUGGGAAACUUGAGUGCAGGAGAGGAAAGUGGAAUUCCCAGUGUAGCGGUGAAAUGCGUAGAUAUUGGGAGGAACACCAGUGGCGAAGGCGGCUUUCUGGACUGCAACUGACGCUGAGGCUCGAAAGCCAGGGGAGCGAACG